RNAcentral lists this ribosomal RNA (548 nucleotides) under uncultured bacterium. Its description in RNAcentral is "partial 16S ribosomal RNA". It matches the Rfam family "Bacterial small subunit ribosomal RNA", at positions 355 to 896 of the family's 1533-position model. The record is from RNAcentral.
UGGGGAAUUUUGGACAAUGGGCGCAAGCCUGAUCCAGCCAUGCCGCGUGCGGGAAGAAGGCCUUCGGGUUGUAAACCGCUUUUGUCAGGGAAGAAAUCUUCUGAGUUAAUACCUCGGGAGGAUGACGGUACCUGAAGAAUAAGCACCGGCUAACUACGUGCCAGCAGCCGCGGUAAUACGUAGGGUGCAAGCGUUAAUCGGAAUUACUGGGCGUAAAGCGUGCGCAGGCGGUUUUGUAAGACAGAGGUGAAAUCCCCGGGCUCAACCUGGGAACUGCCUUUGUGACUGCAAGGCUUGAGUGCGGCAGAGGGGGAUGGAAUUCCGCGUGUAGCAGUGAAAUGCGUAGAUAUGCGGAGGAACACCGAUGGCGAAGGCAAUCCCCUGGGCCUGCACUGACGCUCAUGCACGAAAGCGUGGGGAGCAAAACAGGAUUAGAUCCCUGGUAGUCCACGCCCUAAACGAUGUCAACUGGUUGUUGGGAAGGUUCCUUCUCAGUAACGUAGCUAACGCGUGAAGUUGACCGCCUGGGGAGUACGGCCGCAAGGUUG